This 510-nucleotide ribosomal RNA is filed under the name uncultured bacterium. RNAcentral describes it as "partial 16S ribosomal RNA". It matches the Rfam family "Bacterial small subunit ribosomal RNA", at positions 28 to 507 of the family's 1533-position model. The record is from RNAcentral.
GACGAACGCUGGCGGCGUGCUUAACACAUGCAAGUCGAACGAAGAGCGACGGAAGCUUGCUUCUAUCAAUCUUAGUGGCGAACGGGUGAGUAACGCGUAAUCAACCUGCCCUUCAGAGGGGGACAACAGUUGGAAACGACUGCUAAUACCGCAUACGAUCUAACCUCGGCAUCGAGGAUAGAUGAAAGGUGGCCUCUACAUGUAAGCUAUCACUGAAGGAGGGGAUUGCGUCUGAUUAGCUAGUUGGAGGGGUAACGGCCUACCAAGGCGAUGAUCGGUAGCCGGUCUGAGAGGAUGAACGGCCACAUUGGGACUGAGACACGGCCCAGACUCCUACGGGAGGCAGCAGUGGGGAAUCUUCCGCAAUGGACGAAAGUCUGACGGAGCAACGCCGCGUGAGUGAUGACGGCCUUCGGGUUGUAAAGCUCUGUUAAUCGGGACGAAAGGCCUUCUUGCGAAUAGUGAGAAGGAUUGGCGGUACCGGAAGAGAAAGCCACGGCUAACUACGUG